UUUCCAUGGGUAUUUUCAUCCUUUUGUCCUUCCCUCUCAGGGCUUGUGAGUGCAUGUUACAGAUGCCGGUGCCUGUGGGUGCAGGCAGGAGGGAGAACUGAGUGGAGAUUUCAACCACAACAAGGCACAUGACACAGGGCUGAAGCAGAGUUCAUAAAGCCACUGUGCUUGUCAAGCCCAAUCACAGCUCAAGAACAGGAGAAAAAAUUUCUCCUUAGGUGGUGUUUGGCUGACUGUGCCCCAGCCCUGUCUCUUACAAGCUGUGAGCUCCUGCCACCAUGCCCUGCACUGAUGGGGUGCCUGUGGCUACUUCAGGGCUGGAGCAGGGGGACAUGGCAGCAUGGCUGGGCUUGGUGGUAGCUGCUGCAUUGCUCUGUGUGCUAAAUUUGUAGCAUCUGAGUUUUCUCUUUGCAUGGCUGCUCAGACAGUUUCCUACAGCCCUGGGGGAUUUAGGGGCUUUCAAGUAAUGAUGAAGCUACACCAGCUCCCUUAUAUUAAAAUAAGGUGUCCAGACCUUACCUUAUCCAACUUUAUUGAGAUGGAAUGCCCAUAAAGGGAAUAAAUGCUGCUUUCAGACGAGAUGUCCUGGUCCUGCCAGUGCUGGCUCUGUAUUUCAGUGCUUUGUGGACACACGUGCAGGAGCAUUGCAAAGCCAUCCCUGCCUUUCUUCCCUAUUUCCUGCACCCAGUCCCAAUCAAGCAGACUUGAAAUGUGUAUUUUUGAGGGUUUCAGAUGGUUCCUUUUCCCUGUAUUUAUCAUCAUUUCUCUCUUCUUACACAUCUCCUUUCUCAUGCUUGGCCAUGUGUCCCCAUGGCCUUUCCCCUUCUCCACAAAGGCUGGAGCAGCGUUUGUCCUGCACUGCUCCCCAACCUGCUGUCCCACUCUACAGGCUUGGGAGUCCAAGGCCCCAAGGCCUGUGACAGCACUGGACAGGCAGAGACCAUGCAGCUGGAGACAGCUGUUCAGAAGCAUCACAGCCGAGCAGACUUGGUUUCCUUGUCCUGAGUCAGAGGAUGAAUUACACAUCUUCCCUUCACCAGCUACCUAAUCAGCUGUUGGAGAGGAAAAUAAAAAUGGUGCCUGGCUUUAUGAGAAUUGAUUUAUGAGAACUACCUUCAUGCUGAGGCUGCCACCCUUUUUACUUCAGAGGAGCUGCUAAGGACCUAUCAUCUGCUGCUCUGAGCUCAUGCCCUGUGCUUUGGAGGCAUUUGAAUCACUUUCUCUGCUUGGCAGAUGUUGUAAAAAGCUCUUUGCUGUGACUGUAAGGAACAGAAACCUCUUGUCUUAUUCUUUGCACCCCCUGAGGUGCCCCGAGGAUCCAUGGCUUUCAGAUGACCCCAAACCACUGCCAGGAUGGACUGGUGAACGAUGGCCAGGAGCCACCCCUGUCGCUCACCCACUGCAGAGCAGCAGCGCUGAGCAGCACGUGCGCAUGAGGGAAGAACACCUGCACAUGCAGCGCCUGGCACAGACUAAUCUAGACCAGCUUCCAAAGCUCAGAGCUUAUCGCAACAAAAUGUAAAACAGGAGCAGGAACAAGAAACUCUUUUUUAAAGGUCUGAUGUUGCUUCAGGCUUUUUCAAAAGUCAGGAACAUCUUUAUUAGGGAAUUGUGGAACCAAGGUAUUGCUUUCUGCUUGUGUCAGUGCCUUUGCACAGCUCCCCUCCUGUGCUGCACUGGUGCUGAGGAGGCAGGAGUGUCCAGCUGGGCAGCCUGGCACUGUGGACACCACAGAGGGGUGAGGAGGGGCCAAGGGGCAGGAGACAAACCAGGCUGUGCUUGCUUUCUGCCUUUCCUUUCCAGGCAGUUUUUGCAGACUGGCUGCCAGGGCUGAGUGGGAGCGGUGGGAGCAUUUAAAUACAUGCACUAGCACAUGCAUUACUAAAUCAGCCACUUUAAAACAUUGUCUUUAAUUUACUGCCUUUGAUUGAAGU
Molecule: long non-coding RNA, 1934 nt
Organism: Pezoporus occidentalis (night parrot)
Lineage: Eukaryota; Metazoa; Chordata; Aves; Psittaciformes; Psittacidae
Exons: 3
Source: RefSeq, a predicted model, not a curated record